GAUCAAGCUACAAAGGGCGCACGGUGAAUGCCCUGGCACUAGGAGCCGAUGAAGGACGUGAUAAGCUGCGAUAAGCUACAUGUAGGCGCACACAGCCUGUGAUAUGUAGAUUUCCGAAUGGGGAAACCCAUCUAGUUAUGCUAGAUACUGUAUACCGAAUACAUAGGUAUAUGGAGGUACACCUGGGGAACUGAAACAUCUAAGUACCCAGAGGAAGAGAAAGAAAAUUCGAUUCCCUAAGUAGCGGCGAGCGAAAGGGGAAGAGCCCAAACCAGGAACUUGUUCCUGGGGUUGCGGAUAGAUCAUAACGCUUUGAUUUUUUUAGUUGAAGAGAACUGGAAAGUUCCGUCGUAGAAGGUAAUAACCCUGUAGGCGAAAAGGAAAGAAAAGUAGAUCUACUCCAGAGUACCACGAGACACGUGAAACCUUGUGGGAAGCUGGGAGGACCAUCUCCCAAGGCUAAAUACUACCUAGUGACCGAUAGUGAAGCAGUACCGUGAGGGAAAGGUGAAAAGAACCCCGGAAGGGGAGUGAAAUAGAAUCUGAAACCGUGUGCCUACAAUCGGUCGGAGCACAUUAAAGUGUGACGGCGUACUUUUUGUAGAACGGGCCAGCGAGUUACGAUAUAUAGCAAGGUUAAGCACUUAUGGUGUGGAGCCGAAGGGAAACCGAGUCUGAAUAGGGCAACUAGUUGUAUAUUGUAGACCCGAAACCGGGUGACCUAUCCAUGGCCAGGAUGAAGCGGAAGUAAAAUUCCGUGGAGGUCCGAACCACGUUGGUGUUGAAAAACCAUGGGAUGAGCUGUGGAUAGCGGAGAAAUUCCAAUCGAACUCGGAGAUAGCUGGUUCUCCUCGAAAUAGCUUUAGGGCUAGCGUCGGGUAAUUGAGUAGUGGAGGUAGAGCACUGAAUGGGCUAGGGGCUGACAACAGUUACUGAACCCUAUCAAACUCCGAAUGCCAUAUACUUGUACCCCGGCAGUCAGACUACGAAUGAUAAGAUCCGUGGUCAAAAGGGAAACAGCCCAGACCAUCAGCUAAGGUCCCAAAGUGUAAGUUAAGUGGGAAAGGAUGUGGGAUUUCUAAGACAACUAGGAUGUUGGCUUAGAAGCAGCCACUCAUUUAAAGAGUGCGUAAUAGCUCACUAGUCGAGAGAUCCUGCGCCGAAGAUGUAACGGGGCUCAAACUUACCACCGAAGCUAUGGAUGUGUACUAUGUACACGUGGUAGAGGAGCUUUCUGUACAGGUUGAAGUCAUACCGUAAGGAGUGGUGGACAGUACAGAAGUGAGAAUGCUGGCAUAAGUAGCGAAAAACAAGUGAGAAUCUUGUUGACCGAAUAUCUAAGGUUUCCUGGG
RNAcentral lists this ribosomal RNA (1352 nucleotides) under Clostridium botulinum D str. 16868. RNAcentral's name for it is "bacterial LSU rRNA". It matches the Rfam family "Bacterial large subunit ribosomal RNA", at positions 1 to 1359 of the family's 2925-position model. Lineage: Bacteria; Bacillati; Bacillota; Clostridia; Eubacteriales; Clostridiaceae. The record is from RNAcentral.